AGCGAACGCUGGCGGCAGGCUUAACACAUGCAAGUCGAGCGCCCCGCAAGGGGAGCGGCAGACGGGAGGGUAACACGUGGGAACAUACCUUUUGGUUCGGAACAACUGAGGGAAACUUCAGCUAAUACCGGAUAAGCCCUUACGGGGAAAGAUUUAUCGCCGAAAGAUUGGCCCGCGUCUGAUUAGCUAGUUGGUGAGGUAACGGCUCACCAAGGCGACGAUCAGUAGCUGGUCUGAGAGGAUGAUCAGCCUCACUGGGACUGAGACACGGCCCAGACUCCUACGGGAGGCAGCAGUGGGGAAUAUUGGACAAUGGGGGCAACCCUGAUCCAGCCAUGCCGCGUGAGUGAUGAAGGCCUUAGGGUUGUAAAGCUCUUUUGCCCGGGAAGAUAAUGACGGUACCGGGAGAAUAAGCCCCGGCUAACUUCGUG
This 431-nucleotide ribosomal RNA is filed under the name uncultured bacterium. RNAcentral describes it as "partial 16S ribosomal RNA". It matches the Rfam family "Bacterial small subunit ribosomal RNA", at positions 29 to 507 of the family's 1533-position model. The record is from RNAcentral.